Hippoglossus stenolepis (Pacific halibut) is the source of this 566-nucleotide long non-coding RNA. RefSeq lists it as uncharacterized. NCBI's taxonomy places the organism in Eukaryota, Metazoa, Chordata, Actinopteri, Pleuronectiformes, Pleuronectidae. The transcript has 2 exons. The record is from RefSeq and is a predicted model, not a curated record.
UUCACUGACCUUUCGUUUCAGAGCUUCAUUCAUCCCAGUGAGAGCUGCUGCUCGGUCUCUGUCCUCCCAUCCAGCGGUGCGCUGCGUCCACAUCUGCAUCUGGGAAGGACCGCAACCAGAGGGACUUGUCUCUGCUGCGUCGCAGGCUCCAGGAUCUGGAUGAGCGCCCAGCAGCUGCAGCUGGAAGAACUGGGAUCUGUGGCGCAGACUGACCUGGCCCCCGGUCCCCAGCCUGACCUCUGACCCCUACACUGCUUCACAUUGGACUUGCACUACAAUGAGCCCAGGUUUCCAAUCAAAGACACCAACAGUGUGUUUUUUUUUUUACUAAAUACUUUGAAAGUUUAUUGAUGCAUUUACACGUCUCGCUACUGUGAUCCACCUCAGGAUUUGAUGAUGUUUUUAUACUUUUGCUCUCGAGUCACAGAGUUGAUACAAAGGUUGAACACACUCCAGGCUGUGAAUUACACAAUGUUUAUACCGACUGUUGAUGUCACAUCCACCCUGUUUUACAUGAAUGAUAUUGAUAAAAGACAAUGAUUUACCGAUAAACACUUUUUGUGACA